UUCUCCUCUUACGACGACAUGAGCCUGAAGCGGAGGGUCACCUGUCCGCUGGUCCGCUCCAAGUCGUUCCACCUGUCCUCCACAGAAGUAGGUCCAGAUGACUUGUACAUUGUAGAACCUCUAAGGUUUUCUCCAGAGAAAAAGAAAAAACGCUGCAAGACAAAGUCACUGGACAAGGUUGAGAGUGUGAAGGCGUCCGAUCCCUCUGCUCCGCUCACAAACGGCGGCCCCAAGUGUAACGG
Long non-coding RNA from Seriola dumerili (greater amberjack), 242 nucleotides. RefSeq lists it as uncharacterized. The transcript has 3 exons. NCBI's taxonomy places the organism in Eukaryota, Metazoa, Chordata, Actinopteri, Carangiformes, Carangidae. The record is from RefSeq and is a predicted model, not a curated record.